This 88-nucleotide transfer RNA is filed under the name Bacteroidota bacterium. RNAcentral's name for it is "Bacteroidetes bacterium tRNA-Ser". It matches the Rfam family "tRNA". From Rfam's summary of the family: Transfer RNA (tRNA) molecules are approximately 80 nucleotides in length. Their secondary structure includes four short double-helical elements and three loops (D, anti-codon, and T loops). Further hydrogen bonds mediate the characteristic L-shaped molecular structure. tRNAs have two regions of fundamental functional importance: the anti-codon, which is responsible for specific mRNA codon recognition, and the 3' end, to which the tRNAs corresponding amino acid is attached (by aminoacyl-tRNA synthetases). tRNAs cope with the degeneracy of the genetic code in two manners: having more than one tRNA (with a specific anti-codon) for a particular amino acid; and 'wobble' base-pairing, i.e. permitting non-standard base-pairing at the 3rd anti-codon position. Lineage: Bacteria; Pseudomonadati; Bacteroidota. The record is from RNAcentral.
GGAGGAGUGGCAGAGCGGUUUAAUGCAUCGGUCUUGAAAACCGACGUGUCGAAAGGCACCGGGGGUUCGAAUCCCUCCUCCUCCGCCC